Molecule: ribosomal RNA, 424 nt
Filed under: uncultured Dialister sp.
Lineage: Bacteria; Bacillati; Bacillota; Negativicutes; Veillonellales; Veillonellaceae
Description: bacterial SSU rRNA
Rfam family: Bacterial small subunit ribosomal RNA
Source: RNAcentral
GGGGAAUCUUCCGCAAUGGACGAAAGUCUUACGGAGCAACGCCGCGUGAGUGAUGACGGCCUUCGGGUUGUAAAGCUCUGUGAUCGGCGACGCAUGGGUGGUGCGUUAAUACUGCACGAGAGUGACGGUACCCGGAUAGCAAGCCACGGCGGACCACGCUCCAGCAGCCGCGGUAAUACGAGGUGGCAAGCGUUGUACGGAAUUAUUGGGCGUAAAGCGCGCGCAGGCGGCUUCUUAAGCCAUCUUAAAAGUGCGGGGCUUAACCCCGUGAUGGGAUGGAAACUGGGAGGCUGGAGUAUCGGAGAGGAAAGUGGAAUUCCUAGUGUAGCGGUGAAAUGCGUAGAGAUUAGGAAGAACACCGGUGGCGAAGGCGACUUUCUGGACGACAACUGACGCUGAGGCGCGAAAGCGUGGGGAGCAAACA